Molecule: ribosomal RNA, 484 nt
Filed under: uncultured bacterium
Lineage: Bacteria
Description: partial 16S ribosomal RNA
Rfam family: Bacterial small subunit ribosomal RNA
Source: RNAcentral
AUUGAACGCUGGCGGCAUGCUUUACACAUGCAAGUCGAACGGCAGCGCGGGCUUCGGCCUGGCGGCGAGUGGCGAACGGGUGAGUAAUGCAUCGGAACGUGCCCAGUAGUGGGGGAUAGCCCGGCGAAAGCCGGAUUAAUACCGCAUACGACCUGAGGGUGAAAGCGGGGGACCGAAAGGCCUCGCGCUAUUGGAGCGGCCGAUGUCGGAUUAGCUAGUUGGUGGGGUAAAGGCUUACCAAGGCGACGAUCCGUAGCUGGUCUGAGAGGACGACCAGCCACACUGGGACUGAGACACGGCCCAGACUCCUACGGGAGGCAGCAGUGGGGAAUUUUGGACAAUGGGGGCAACCCUGAUCCAGCCAUGCCGAGUGCGGGAAGAAGGCCUUCGGGUUGUAAACCGCUUUUGUUCGGGAAGAAAUCCUCUGGGCUAAUACCCCGGGGGGAUGACGGUACCGGAAGAAUAAGCACCGGCUAACUACGUG